AGCGAACGCUGGCGGCAGGCUUAACACAUGCAAGUCGAGCGGUCCUUUCGGGGUCAGCGGCGGACGGGUGAGUAACGCGUGGGAACGUGCCUUCCGGUUCGGAAUAACCCUGGGAAACUAGGGCUAAUACCGGAUACGCCCUUAUGGGGAAAGGUUUCCUGCGGGGAGAUCGGCCCGCGUCUGAUUAGCUAGUUGGUGGGGUAACGGUCUACAAAGGCGACGAUCAGUAGCUGGUCUGAGAGCAUGAUUAGCCACACUGGCACUGAGACACGGCCCAGACUCCUACGGGGCGCAGCAGUGGGGAAUAUUGGACAAUGGGCGCAAGCCUGAUCCAGCCAUGCCGCGUGAGUGAUGAAGGCCUGAGGGUUGUAAAGCUCUUUUAUCCGGGACGAUAAUGACGUUACCGGAGGAAUAAGCCCCGGCUAACUUCGUG
Molecule: ribosomal RNA, 433 nt
Filed under: uncultured bacterium
Lineage: Bacteria
Description: partial 16S ribosomal RNA
Rfam family: Bacterial small subunit ribosomal RNA
Source: RNAcentral